GCCUGGGUGGCGGAAUGGAAUACGCGCGACGCUUAAAACGUUGUGCUCGGCAACGAGCUUGUGGGUUCGAAUCCCACCCCAGGCA
RNAcentral lists this transfer RNA (85 nucleotides) under bacterium. RNAcentral describes it as "tRNA-Leu". It matches the Rfam family "tRNA". Rfam says of the family: Transfer RNA (tRNA) molecules are approximately 80 nucleotides in length. Their secondary structure includes four short double-helical elements and three loops (D, anti-codon, and T loops). The record is from RNAcentral.